GACGAACGCUGGCGGCGUGCUUAACACAUGCAAGUCGAGCGGUAAGGCCCUUUCGGGGGUACGACGAGCGGCGAACGGGUGAGUAACACGUGGGUGACCUGCCCUCAGCUCUGGGAUAAGCCUGGGAAACCGGGUCUAAUACUGGAUAUGACUCCAUGACGCAUGUUGGUGGGGUGGAAAGCCUUGUGCGGCUGAGGAUGGGCCCGCGGCCUAUCAGCUUGGUUGGUGGGGUGANGGCCUACCAAGGCGACGACGGGUAGCCGGCCUGAGAGGGCGACCGGCCACACUGGGACUGAGACACGGCCCAGACUCCUACGGGAGGCAGCAGUGGGGAAUCUUGCGCAAUGGGCGAAAGCCUGACGCAGCGACGCCGCGUGAGGGAUGACGGCCUGGUUGUAACUACUU
This 405-nucleotide ribosomal RNA is filed under the name uncultured bacterium. RNAcentral's name for it is "bacterial SSU rRNA". It matches the Rfam family "Bacterial small subunit ribosomal RNA", at positions 28 to 435 of the family's 1533-position model. The record is from RNAcentral.